This 253-nucleotide ribosomal RNA is filed under the name uncultured bacterium. RNAcentral's name for it is "partial 16S ribosomal RNA". It matches the Rfam family "Bacterial small subunit ribosomal RNA", at positions 524 to 776 of the family's 1533-position model. The record is from RNAcentral.
GACGGAGGAUGCAAGCGUUAUCCGGAAUGAUUGGGCGUAAAGCGUCCGCAGGUGGCAGUUCAAGUCUGCUGUCAAAGACCGGGGCUUAACUUCGGAAAGGCAGUGGAAACUGAACAGCUAGAGUAUGGUAGGGGCAGAGGGAAUUCCUGGUGUAGCGGUGAAAUGCGUAGAGAUCAGGAAGAACACCGGUGGCGAAGGCGGUCGACUGGGCCAGUACUGACGCUGAGGCGCGACAGCGUGGGGAGCAAACAGG